RNAcentral lists this microRNA precursor (80 nucleotides) under Marmota monax (woodchuck). The record is from RNAcentral. Lineage: Eukaryota; Metazoa; Chordata; Mammalia; Rodentia; Sciuridae.
UGUGUGUGUGUGUGUGUGUGUGUGUGCGUGUGUGUUACACACACACACCGCGCGCGCGCGCGCGAACACACACACACACU